UACGUAGGGUGCGAGCGUUGCCCGGAUUUAUUGGGCGUAAAGGGCGCGUAGGCGGCUCGGCACGUCCGUUGUGAAAUCGCCCGGCUCAACUGGGCGGGGUCAGCGGAUACGGUCGAGCUUGAGCAAGCUAGGGGGUAAUGGAAUUCCCGGUGUAGUGGUGGAAUGCGUAGAUAUCGGGAGGAACACCAGUGGCGAAGGCGGGUUGCUGGGCUGACACUGACGCUGAUGCGCGAAAGCCAGGGGAGCGAACGGG
RNAcentral lists this ribosomal RNA (253 nucleotides) under uncultured bacterium. Its description in RNAcentral is "partial 16S ribosomal RNA". It matches the Rfam family "Bacterial small subunit ribosomal RNA", at positions 524 to 776 of the family's 1533-position model. The record is from RNAcentral.